RNAcentral lists this long non-coding RNA (1351 nucleotides) under Homo sapiens (human). RNAcentral describes it as "HSALNT0346038". Lineage: Eukaryota; Metazoa; Chordata; Mammalia; Primates; Hominidae. The record is from RNAcentral.
CUGGAAGGCUGAGUGGGGAAGAAGGAAGACACUUCCUGUUUGCUUCCUGUUCUGUUUAACGACACCCUAACGAUUACUUUUCAUUUCAGCAGUUAUAGUUUGUUUCAGUAGCAACAGUUAUUUCCAGUUUUAGUUUUGACAGCAUUCCUAGAACUAGCUCCUUAGGGUUUUUUAAAGACACCAACGCCAACCAGCAAGCGCCCCCUACUGAGCGGUCUAGGUCCCAGCUCUGAGAAGCCACUCAAGUUUCUAAGAACGAAGUCAUGAGUAGAAGCCAGGGAGGCAUGAAAGAAAAAGUCUUGUGGCACCCACACCGAGAAGAUGCUAAGCAGAGAUGUGAGGAAACAAAGCUGAGAAUUGAGGGACAAUCCAAGGGAAAGAAGUGGACUGGGAAAUCGGUUCUCCUGGCCUGGAAAAGACACGUCACCACAGGAAAAAAUCUGGCUCCAGAGAACAAUUUAUUUUAAUAUGCCUCAUUUUGCUAUUUCAUUAAUUCAGAAAUACUUGGCCUUUUUUUCUACUGUUACUGUGGAGGCAUAAUAGGAAAUGUAAACAUACUGGUACAAAAUAAGAAAUAACUUAUUUAUAUGGCAGGAAGACUAGAAAAAUCACAGCCAUUUUCUUCUUCUUACUAUAAGCUCUAAUUUUCCAUGAUACUGCUCUACAUACAGGAUCUUUAUUUAAAAAAACCUGAAGUGAUGAUAUUACAUUGCCACAUCAACAUUUGAAAUUAAAUGAUCAAUGGGUGAUAUAAAAAUGGCCAGCACAUGGUACAUUUUGUAAUACUUUAAGUCACAUUGUUGAGAUCCUUGAUAAAGAUAUGAUUUGCUUUUAAUCUGGCACCAUCAUUUAUUUUGGGCAAAGCUAGAAAACAAAUAACAUAAUUUGCAUAAUGAAACCAUUGAGAGAAAAAUCACUGUAAUUUGUCAGAGGUAUCUGCACCAUUUUGACUUACAGUUUAAAUUCAUUCAAGUUUAUUUCUUUCCUUACCCCAACUAAACAAUGCUUUUGAUUUAUUCUUGCCAUUUAGUGUCAUAUAAAAUAAAGUGUUCCACUAGGAGGAGAAAUAAUUUGUCAAGUAGAAACUAUAUUAAAUGAAACAUUCUCUCUGAUAUGUUUUUAAUUUGUUUUAUUCCCAUUUUGCUAUUGCAAUUUUCCCACCUGCCAAUGGAGAUAAGGGGCUGUUUCAUUCUUUCUCUUUUGGCUCGCGAAGGCCACACGCUUGUUUUGUUAAGGAGAGUCCACCUAUCACCAGGAGGGACAGAAGUCAGCUCAGGAAGGGAGACCCUGCCAGGGGACUCAGCCAUGAGGUAAGGCCAGCCAUGAGUCCAAAGACAAGUAUUCCUGAGCA